Molecule: ribosomal RNA, 396 nt
Filed under: uncultured bacterium
Lineage: Bacteria
Description: partial 16S ribosomal RNA
Rfam family: Bacterial small subunit ribosomal RNA
Source: RNAcentral
AUACGUAGGGGGCAAGCGUUAUCCGGAUUCACUGGGUGUAAAGGGAGCGUAGACGGCUGUGCAAGUCUGAUGUGAAACUCCGCGGCUCAACCGCGGGCCUGCAUUGGAAACUGUACAGCUUGAGAACUGGAGGGGCAGGCGGAAUUCCUGGUGUAGCGGUGAAAUGCGCAGAUAUCAGGAGGAACACCGGCGGCGAAGGCGGCCUGCUGGACAGCAUCUGACGUUGAGGCUCGAAAGCGUGGGGAGCAAACAGGAUUAGAUCCCCUGGUAGUCCACGCCGUAAACGAUGAAUACUAGGUGUCGGGGGGCAAGGCCCUUCGGUGCCGCCGCAAACGCAUUAAGUAUUCCACCUGGGGAGUACGUUCGCAAGAAUGAAACUCAAAUGAAUUGACGGGG